This 1162-nucleotide long non-coding RNA is filed under the name Theobroma cacao (cacao). RNAcentral describes it as "long non-coding RNA (TCAC_LNC002973)". The record is from RNAcentral. Lineage: Eukaryota; Viridiplantae; Streptophyta; Magnoliopsida; Malvales; Malvaceae.
UUUCUUUCCAUUUCCGGUGAUGGAGUUCCGGGAGCUCUAUCCGCGGCCAUAUUCAAUCGUAAAGGUCGACCUUCCACCUCCUACAAGCAUGAUUACAUAGAAACAGAAAUUGAAAAGGUAAAUAAACUUCAACCCCAAAGUAUUCAUGAACCAAGUCUUACCACUCCGUUCAUUGCAUUUAGAGCAGCCUCAACAGUCUCAGCAGACUCAAAAGAGACGAAUCCAAAACCUCGAGAUCUUCCUGUAUCCCUCUCAUAGAUGACUUUAGCACUCAACAGGCCUGGUUGACUAGCGAAAGCAUCUCUGAGACCUUGAGAGGUGACACCCCAACCGAGGUUUCCUGCAUAGAUCUUGUAAGGGCUGUCUAAAAAGCUCUUGUAACCUCUCCGUAUCUUUGGUCCCAUUACUUCCCUCUCACCACCUCUCGGCACCUCUGGGAAGUUCACCUUCACAGUCCGUCCUCCAACUUGCUGUUAGCGGUUAGGGAUAAAAGCAUUAACAUCAGCUUUACUGGCAAUUCAAAAUGGAAUAACCCACGUAAAUGGUGCUCUAAAAACCAAAGAAAUACACAACAAUUCUAGGUAAUCUGCAUAGAGCUAAAAAAACUUUGUAGGUUCAAUCAAUGGUUAAUGUAGACAGUCAAGAAACUUUAUAAUUAAACUUACGGAUCCAUCAAACAGCCUAAUUGCUUCUUUAGCAUCAUCAACGCUGGCCAUUGUAACAAAGGCAAAUCCCCUGCUUCUAUCGGUAACUCGAUCAUAGACAAUCUAUCAAACACAAUUCAACAAGAAAAGCCAUUACCAAAAAUAACCAAAAAAAUGAAGAAAACUAAUAAGAUAGCCAAAACCAAUUGGGGAACAAGGGGACGAAAAAACACAAACCUCCACAUUAGCAACACGACCAGCCUCAUUAAAAAUCUCAGAUAACUCAGAAGAAGUCAUUGAAUAGGGCAAGUUCCCAACAUACAACCUUCCUUCUUCACCACCAGACUCUGAAAUCUUCUCUUCUUCAGCUUCCUCUUGUUGUGGCGGUUCUUCAACGUUUGGACUUUCAGGGUAUUCUUCUCCAGGGCUUCGGUCAUCUUCAGUAACUAGGAAGCUAUCAAAAGAAGCUGCAAAACAGUGCAAACGGGGGAGAGACAGGUGGAGAGAGAAAGGGAGGG